RNAcentral lists this long non-coding RNA (426 nucleotides) under Mustela putorius furo (domestic ferret). Its description in RNAcentral is "lncRNA (ENSMPUG00000026220.1)". Lineage: Eukaryota; Metazoa; Chordata; Mammalia; Carnivora; Mustelidae. The record is from RNAcentral.
CCCGUGACCUGUGAGGACACCCGGCAUGCUUCGCAAAACACUUACACGUGAUUCUGAUACUCUACUAUUCAUAUUCAGAAAAUGCAAUAAGAAGAAACUAGGCUGUAUCUUCGACACUUUGGAAAUAUUCUUCAACUAAAUAUCCAAGUUCCUUAUUUACAAGCUCUCCUUUCCACAUGAUCUUAGGACACAGUUCAGCUGGCUUUUGGUCACUGUGUAAGAAGGAUCUCCUUUCCUUCGUGUUUCAAUAGUAUGUUCCCCAUUCCCUUCUGAGUUCUCACCAGCAAUGCCUCUAACAUCCAUAUUUCUACCCACCUUCCAUUUAUGAUGUCUUUACUCUUAUGACUUUAUGUCUUUACUCUUAGAUGAUACAGGCUUUCUCCACUAUGUACCUUACUUCCCCCUGAGCCCUCCCUGGCAGAGUCU